UCCGUGUUAACCACGGCAGUCUCUUUAGAGUGCCCAACUUAAUGCUGGCAACUAAAGACAAGGGUUGCGCUCGUUGCGGGACUUAACCCAACAUGUCACCACACGAGCUGACGACAGCCAUGCAGCACCUGUCACUCGGUCGUAUUGCUACGAAAACCCUAUUUCUAGGGCUGUCCGAGGAUGUCAAAUCCAGGUAAGGUUCUUCGCGUUGCUUCGAAUUAAACCACAUGAUCCACCGCUUGUGCGGGCCCCCGUCAAUUCCUUUGAGUUUUAGCCUUGCGGCCGUACUCCCCAGGCGGGGCGCUUAAUGCGUUAGCUACGGCACGGAACCCGUCGAUAGGGUCCCACACCUAGUGCCCAACGUUUACGGCGUGGACUAC
Molecule: unclassified non-coding RNA, 380 nt
Filed under: uncultured bacterium
Lineage: Bacteria
Description: contains 16S-23S intergenic spacer region
Source: RNAcentral